GACUGUGGCAGGAACGCCGUCCCCUCAGAUUAUGGAUAUUUACAUGCCUGGCAUUCUUCUUUGCCAGGGCUACAGCAUAGACAGGUGGCAGUGCUGUGUGACAAUGACAACCACCAGUUAGACUGAGACAGCAAGACGUCUUGGACAGGCACAGUCUCCAUGUUAAAAGAUACAAUCCUCCACUUGGUGAGAUUUGAGUGAAGAAUCAGGCCCAUCAUUUGUCAAAGGCUUUGGGAUCCUUUUGGAAUUAAAGGCAUGAUAGAAAGGGCUAGAGAACAAACAGGCCCCAUCAACUAUUCAAAGGAAACAACGUUGCAAUGAAGUGCAAAGAAACAGCUGCAUGAAGCUUUUUCAAGGAUCACUAAUGAAGUCAACAUGUGCUACAGAUCAAACAGGGAAACUAAUACCAGAUGAGAACUGAAGUAAUCAGAAUAGACACAGACGUAACAGCAACCAUUUUGUACCAUAAGAAGCAAAAAAAACCCCAAGCAUUAAGUGCCUGAGAAUUCAUGUUCUGAUGACUGUUGCCCUUCUCCCUCCCUCUCUGCACCAGUCUUACCUGAAGAGAGCAGGGUGCAGGUAGCUAGGACAAGUAUGGUGGCUGUGGCUGCCU
Gopherus evgoodei (Goodes thornscrub tortoise) is the source of this 613-nucleotide long non-coding RNA. RefSeq lists it as uncharacterized. The transcript has 3 exons. The record is from RefSeq and is a predicted model, not a curated record. Lineage: Eukaryota; Metazoa; Chordata; Testudines; Testudinidae.